RNAcentral lists this long non-coding RNA (1372 nucleotides) under Coturnix japonica (Japanese quail). RNAcentral's name for it is "lncRNA (ENSCJPG00005014654.1)". Lineage: Eukaryota; Metazoa; Chordata; Aves; Galliformes; Phasianidae. The record is from RNAcentral.
CUUUUAAGGGAAAUUGAACCUGACUAAGGUGUGAUUAAUCAUCACCCCCACACUGACAUCACAUACAGCCAGGUAUCAUGUGAUGUCUCAGCAGCUGAUCCCAGUGAUCCUCCUAAUUCAAACACAUAACGAAUCUGGAAGGAUAUAUCCAUCUGCUGAGUUUUGUUUUGUUUUGUUGGUGUGUGAGAGAAAAAGGACUUUGUGGUGUUUUUUUGGUUGUUUUUUUUUUUUUUUUGACUACAGCAUAAUUUUAAGUCUCACCAAAGGUAUUUGUACAGAAAAAUACUCUUGUAGGGCUGGCAGAUAUACGAAGGACAACAUGAUUGCUGCCUUGCAGAAAAUAGUACCUUCUUAUCUGGUAUAUUGGAACACAAAAGCAGGAAUGAGACAAGAUGGGGCUGAAAGAUGAGAAAGGAACAAUGGAGAACUGUGGGGAUGGAGGAAGGGAGGAUAAAUGGAACAGCAUGGAGAUGAAGAAAACAAGAGCCAGGAAGAGGUGGAGGCUUUGGAGUGAGCCAAGGGGAUCAGAAGAGCAAGAAGAAACUUUAGCCUCUCUGAUCUAUAAGACUGCCUGUACUUUGCAUUUGCUGUUAAAUAUAGAUGGCAGCACGCAUUCUACGAGACAGAGAAACAUAAAGGAGGCCAGAAGAAACAAAUGCUGUGAAAAUGUCUUUGGGUUAUUCUAAAAAAGUGUAAAAGACUUUCAAGUUACUGGUCUUUUGAUUUAUUAUGAUGCUUCCGUGAUCGGAUGGUGUCUGUGCAGCUCUACAUUUCAGAUUUAUGUAUCUGUGCAGUAAACAUGAUUUCAAUUAUCUUUGACAAAUGUUUUGAUUUUACUCACAGCCUGCUUCUGUAUGGAGGGCAGUGUUUGUCCCGCUGUCCUAGUUACUCUGACCCAUUUACCUGGCCUGUGCCCCCGUGGCUGCAUUUGCGUCCUCUCCCCUUUGUUCUUGUUCAUUGGGAAAAGCUGCCUUGCACCACAUCAGAGCUGGCUGCGUUUGCUUGUCAGACAGAACGUUUCCCGAGUGGAAAUUUCUUAUGGGGUGGAGGAUCUUUAGUUUAGAUGCUAAUUAAAUGUAAUGUACUAGUGCUACUUUUAUUCCUAUUAAUGUGAGGAUUUCUGCCCAGCUCCAAUUAAUGUUAAUGUGAGGAAAAGGGAGAAAAAGGCAUUUUUGACAAGCUAAAGAAAAUUCUGUUCAAAUGUCUUUGUGUUUCCUCUACUCAUUAUGUGUUGAUAUAAAUGUAAAUGUCUAUGAGAAACGUGGAAAGGAAAAUGUAAGGCAAUACACACUUAUUUUUGGCCGCGAAUAGCAGUACUUAUGAGUCAAUUUUGGCUUUAUAGCCAAAGAGACUUGGCAACUAUGGUACUCAC